This 560-nucleotide ribosomal RNA is filed under the name Shigella sp. Its description in RNAcentral is "bacterial SSU rRNA". It matches the Rfam family "Bacterial small subunit ribosomal RNA", at positions 802 to 1362 of the family's 1533-position model. RNAcentral also lists the same sequence under 1 other name. The record is from RNAcentral. Lineage: Bacteria; Pseudomonadati; Pseudomonadota; Gammaproteobacteria; Enterobacterales; Enterobacteriaceae.
GUAAACGAUGUCGACUUGGAGGUUGUGCCCUUGAGGCGUGGCUUCCGGAGCUAACGCGUUAAGUCGACCGCCUGGGGAGUACGGCCGCAAGGUUAAAACUCAAAUGAAUUGACGGGGGCCCGCACAAGCGGUGGAGCAUGUGGUUUAAUUCGAUGCAACGCGAAGAACCUUACCUGGUCUUGACAUCCACGGAAGUUUUCAGAGAUGAGAAUGUGCCUUCGGGAACCGUGAGACAGGUGCUGCAUGGCUGUCGUCAGCUCGUGUUGUGAAAUGUUGGGUUAAGUCCCGCAACGAGCGCAACCCUUAUCCUUUGUUGCCAGCGGUCCGGCCGGGAACUCAAAGGAGACUGCCAGUGAUAAACUGGAGGAAGGUGGGGAUGACGUCAAGUCAUCAUGGCCCUUACGACCAGGGCUACACACGUGCUACAAUGGCGCAUACAAAGAGAAGCGACCUCGCGAGAGCAAGCGGACCUCAUAAAGUGCGUCGUAGUCCGGAUUGGAGUCUGCAACUCGACUCCAUGAAGUCGGAAUCGCUAGUAAUCGUGGAUCAGAAUGCCACGG